CGGUGCGCUGAAAAAGAAAAAAAAUUACCUUUUAUUUUUGAUGUCAUAGAACACGUUAAAUUUGUUAAAAAUUUAAAUUGAAUAUUUCCACGUUUGUCGGUGAUAUCAGGUUGUCGAAUACAUCAGAGUAGAAUGGCCCCGAGCACAAAGGGUUGAAACGGUACUCUCAGGGUGAUAUCUAGUCCCUUUAGUUCUCACGUAUCCUUGGCGAAUCUCCUGGUGAAACGGGAGUACGUGAGUAGACUUGCUUUUCAGCUAACUGGUACUACACCCUAUAGACGGUGGUCACGUUCCCGGUGUGUGUACCCUUAUGAAUGAAAUCAGCAUCGAGUAGAGCGUCUCGUGACGCUUAAUUGGAACUUAAUUGCUCCGACGUUGGUGAUUUACCGUCUUAGCGAAACAACGCUGUUGACGGCACAAUGGGGCUGAGUCGUUAGCCUCUUCAAGACAAAGUCGUGCCACCUACAAAUUACGACGUUCAGGUGGAGGGAAGCAUUAGCUUCCUCCAUGUGUAUGUAUAAUAGAUUUUUUGCUGCUCGAAUUCGUUGCUGAGGGAGCAGGAAUUUCGGGCGUUAAUUAUGCGUGCGUGCAUUCCAUCGUAUACGAUCGCACGUGUCUAGCAUCCGAGACGGAGAGAGAAUUUGCAGCGUCGCGUCGUCUUGCCUUGGUCGAAUCCUGUCCUCUUUUCUUCUGGAAGGAAGAUCGGAAAUGACGACGAAACUACCUAGGAAUUUAUUCUUCGUUUAUAUCAGCUGAUUCAUUGAUGGUUAAAGGUGUGAUCCGGACUGAUUCUUGAUAUUUGUAGGAAGAAUUUCCAAGUGAAAAAAUCAUUGCGAAUAUUCAGUGAAAAAUUCAUGCUCGACUCGAUCUGGUUCGUGACACGAAUGCAUCGACGAAAUACGUUUAAAAAUUGACUUUCCCUUGGAACGGCUUAUGGAACGCGUGUCCAACGAGCAAGUCGAAUUGUCCUGUUCGAUUCUCUGCAUUGUCGCAAGGUCGAACUGGAUUUCGAGCGAGGGUGAGCGAGCGAGCGAGUAGUAGCAAGUUCUCCCUAUAGGUCGAUAGCGAAAACGAGCUGGCACGGUGACGAUAUUUUGCACGUGCAAGGAAGGAGAUAUCGAUGGUCGGUUUCAGAUCAGACAAAAGUUUCACGGUAGAUGGGUGUGCACAUGUAUUUACGAAGGUUCCGCUUAAUAGUACAGUCGUUUGCGAAAUUAUUCGUACCUUUGUAUCUCCAAUGUGUGCGUUUCAUUUGCUAACAGCUUGAUGCCAUAGUUUCGCGAACGACUGUAUAUGCAGCAUGAUAUUAGUGGAAUAAUGUGUGUAGGUUUUUCGUGGACGAUCGUGAAAAUAAUUUCGGGCGCCAGCCGUCCACAGUUCCGACGGAUGCGAGGGAUUCGUACGACUGAUGAAGUUUUAUUCGGAAGUGGAGGUUUAACCGUAUUAAAAUGGCAGGUCAGUCGGGUCCUCUGACGACUCGGUCGGUGCCUGUUUAAAGGUCGCAGGCCGGAACCGGCGUCGAAUAAUAUAAUAUAUUAGCGGUCGUUGGUGGCUUUGAAGUGACGAAAGGUCCUCUGGCUUGGGACCGAUCCUCAAUUUGUGUGGAACGAUUCUGGAUCGUCCGUGAUUGGGAUAUGAGUAAUUACGUCGUUGAUUUAUUUUCUGCUCGGCACGUCUCACUUUGCGCGGAUGUACCGUCUCGUCUGCUUAUAAUACGCGAUAAUAGCAAAGGAUAGAAGGAUUUUACUGGUUUUUCACCAUAUUGUCGUUUACUCCCGUUGUGUAACACCACUAUGCCCGAGCGUUCUUCAGGGCAUCGCGUUCAACUCGCGAUAAAGCAACGCGAUAAAGUAGUCCGUACAAAUAGUAUCGUGUUCGGUUUACCGUGACACGAGUAAAUAUUUGUGCCUGGAAUGGUCGAUGGAGAGGUUGCAGAAAAUGCUCGGUGAAUUUCUAACAGCUCGUUACCACCGUGUAUACACGAUCUAUCUGCCAGAGUCCUGUGUUGUGUAUAUUCCGACGGUGUGUGUGCACUAGUUCGGAAGCCACCUGUAACGAUACGGAUCGUGUUCCAUGCUCUAACAAUCCCUCUCCUCUUAUCAUUAUUCGAGAAUUUUUCAUCGUCGCAAAUAUAUGAAAAUAUAACAUCGAGAAUUUUUCAUCGAUAUAUGUAAGUUGAAGAUGCACGUCGUCGCGUCGGUUCGUCUACCAACGGUUGACGGUGACAAAUCGACGCGUGUCAGACAAACUUGCUGUAAAAGCUUUCUAAAUGUAAUAACUCGAAGAAUACACAGGCUGUCGUAGGUACGCGUUUUAUAUAGCCUGCUGGCAUCGAAUCAGAGAGUCCGAAUGCACGGCCUUGUGCUCAAUUGCAUUUUCGUCGAAUUACGAUUCGCGCGAUAUUCCAGCAUUCUGGGUCGUUUACCUUCUGUUGCCGGCAUCGAAAUGCGUGGGCGGUUCAUUCAUUGGCCAAGAAAGCAUGGACGUGUCUGAAGUAUGUACUUGUGCCAUUUGGCAGAGUGUCAUAGAUACACGUCGUACAUCUUCAUUAAUUGGCGCCUCGAAUAGCACGCGUAUACGCAACUGGGGGCCAACUCCUCCUCGUCUGCACUCGACACGCGUUUUAAUUGCUUCGUUUCCGAUAUACCUCGAGACUUGGUCGAAAGAUCGAACCUCGUUGAUAAACCGAUCGCUUCUUCGAUCAACAUUUUUAUGCAGUUACCUUCUAAAAUUCUAUAGACUAAUUGGAGUGGUAACGCGAUCAAGGGAAGUUAGUUCUGUUAAGAGUUAAAUAUUUUCCUAUGGAAAAAAAAUACAGUUUGUCAAAGUGUUUAUUGCAACGGAAUAGCGAUCGAUAUAUCGUUUUCAAGUGGUUAGGUUGCACGAUGUAUCGAAUUUUCAAGUACCUACAUACGUCAGUACGCGACAUUCUUCGAGUACGUUCACACAAACGUUGUCGUAGUCAGCGACUAAGGUGGAGCUUCCGUUUCCGGUAAUGAACGUGCCGUAUACGAGAAUCGACACCAUCCAUUAUAUCCUUUAUUCGUGUAUACUCGCUUCUCAAACUUGACGUUCUUCGAUACAAACGUUCCAACUUGUACGAAUGAUAGAAUUUGCUAGAAUUUCCUAGAAUUUCCUAGUACCUACCAUUUGAAAACCCGUCUUAAAACGGCGGUGCAGGGAUAAUCGGUUGAGUGCACGCGCAAUCUGGUGCACCUACACGUACGUAGAUCGUCGCGUAUCAUGGAAAUCGCUUCUCCACCGUUCGCCAUAUGCUCGUUGCUGCUGGUACCGUUGUCGAGACUGCUUAUAGAGCCGGUUUUCGUUUCCUGCCGGACACGAAAGAAUGGCUAGCCUUGCUGAUAGACCAACUCUCUCUCUACCCGCUUCUUUUUGCAUACUCUCGAUGCUGCCUGUCUAUUUUUUCCCCUCUCUUUUCACGCAUUCUUCGUGCUUAACGCGCGCGCAUUCUUACGCAUCCGGCGAUCUACGCGUGUUUGACAGAAACUCUUUAACUUAACCCUUUAGCUAGUAUACGUAAUCGCUGGAUAGCAAUUUUUUACGUUAUUUUAUUUAUGUAAUCAAUCGCUUUUGAAUUGUACACCCUGUAACUCUACCAACAGCAGGAUAAUAAUGGUUUUUUCCUCGAAUUAAUGGAUAUCGAUUAUAUAGGAGCGUACACGGUUCUCCGGAUGCAGUCUCCUCCUAUUAGAACGCGAUCUGACGCGAAUCGGAAUAUUAUAAAUUGAAAUCUAUCUAUGUUUUCUUCUUUUCUUCUUUUCUUUUUUUCCAUCAGUCGAGGAGCAAGUUCGAGCACCGAUAUAGGCGAAUAAAAGAGUAGAAACAGCUGUGGCGACUCGAGGAUAGAUCGAGACGAAGAGAGACCUCAUUGGGAAAACGCGUUAACCUAAUUAGAGACGCGGACAAUGACGAAUCGUGUUGUUUUCAAAGCGAUAUCUUUUAUCAACGAAUAAUACCCAUUAUGCCGAUGGAACGGUAACAGGAUUUCUUUGUCCCUCGAUCGAUGCAUCCCCAAGACGGUUCAACUGUUCUCGAAAGGCGAGACUGAUAAAAUUGAGAAAAGAGCGAGAGUAUCGCUUAUCACCUUUCCCUUUCUUUCUUCGCCGAUCACCGGUUGCCAAUGAUACUCGCGGUAUUCAACGCGUCGAUUGAAUUGCUCGGAAACUAAUCUGACGAAAAUAUAGUAAAAGUGUGGUCGAAUCGUGGAACAGGUGCGGAAAGCAUAAUCGGGUUUGCCUUCGCGGAAAAUCUUUAUCCGGGUAUUGUUUCGCGCGCACAAAAGCGUCCUCGGCACGGAAUGCCGAGCAUUGCGCAUAGUCGAUACGAUACACGACAAUUCGAUACCUAGAACUCGAUCUUCCUUCGUCGUUCCUCCUCGUCUCGACACCGUCUAUCGAUAACCAAUUUCCGGUGAACGUAAUCGAUUGUCCUCGCCAGUAUGUCUUUUCUUCCAAGUAUUUUCAAUUUUACUAAGGAUUCGCAAUACGGGUGGUCGUUUCGGUACGGUAAUGGAUGCAACGAUAAGAUUUGAUGAAUUCGACGCGACGCGACGCGACGCGACGCGACGCGACGCAUCGAAGUCUCUGGAGGGACUCGAAAGAGAAAGAGAGUCGAACGAUCGGACAGUUUGGUGCGGUGGUGGUCGAAAUACGAAAAUUCCGAAAUUCCGGACGCGCCAAAGUGUUAUCUAACUGAACGACGCGGCGCGGCGCGGCGUCUGUUGGCGUCGAGCGUUCCACCGGUGCCGCCGCUUUUCGCAUUAGUCAUCGGGUACGAAAGGCGAAAGGCGGUUCUCCUCGUCGUAGUCCAGUUGUAGGCGAGUAAGCGAGCAACAGCAGCAGCAGGUAGAGAACGGUACAGCCUGCAGAGAUAAUCUGGUGACUCUAAUUGCCUUAAAAAACGCGAUACCGACCAACGACGACGUUAUGGUACCGUGCUGCGAGAGUUACUCAUUUACCCGUAAAUCUCUUCUCCGCGAUCCCUCCGCGAGCCCAGUUGCUUGACUUUCGCGAAUCGAUUUCCUCCCACUCGCGUUAAAUUCGGCCGUCGCGUUACGGUAGGUCGUUAACCGACCAGUGUACAUACCUAAUAUUUACGCUCGUUCCUAUAUCUUGAAGCGUAAAUUCGUCGAACUUUAUCGACACCCCUAGAUCGGAUCGGGAAUCGGUUCGAUCGAUCGAUCCAGAGGAUUCGAUUAGACGUCGUAGCUGGGUUGGGUGCUACUCGAAAAAAAAAAAAAAAAAAAAA
This is a non-coding RNA of Osmia lignaria (orchard mason bee), 5268 nucleotides long. The record is from RefSeq and is a predicted model, not a curated record. NCBI's taxonomy places the organism in Eukaryota, Metazoa, Arthropoda, Insecta, Hymenoptera, Megachilidae.